This 1174-nucleotide long non-coding RNA is filed under the name Pandoravirus quercus. Its description in RNAcentral is "hypothetical ncRNA". The record is from RNAcentral.
AUGGGCGUCGGGCCUGCCCAAAAGCCAUCUAAAGGCGUCGUCCGAUGCAGCGCCCAAGGCGGCAUAGGCUAUGGUGGGAUCACCCCAUGCAACGAUCGGGCGCACGGCACCAUCAGGCACCGGCACGUUGAUGUCGACGGUGGGUUCGCCCGCGGCCCACCGGAGUGCGUCGACGGCGCUUUGGGGCUUGCCCUUGAUGAGGCUCACGAGAACCUCGACGGUGCACGGGUGCAGGCCCCUGUCGUGAGCCAGUGCAAUAGUGGGUAGGUGAUCCCGAGCAGCGGCUUGCAGCAUCGUCUCAAAGGGGACGCUGCGGACACAAGGUGACGGCUCCAUUUCCAAGAGCCACUGUGCGACACGCACACGUCCACAUGAGAUGGCCUUGAUGAGCGUCGACGAUCCGAUGGCGUCGUGGCCCCCGUCCAGGUGCUUGGAUCGGGUGUCGACACUACGCGCAUGCAGCCAUGCGACGAUGGGAGCCUGGUCGGUAUCGAGGGCAAGUGCGGCCACUUGGACGCUACAAUCGCACAUGCCGACGACGGCGAUGCGGCGCGCGUGGAUGGCCUCGAUGACAUGGAGAUGGCCGGCACGGACCGCCUCCAAAAGGCCUGCCUCGACCACGUCGGCGCUGUUGGGGCCGCGUGGAGACGGCAGUCGCGUGAGCAACCACAAGGCCACCUCAACGUGCGCCCGGCGACAGGCCGCCUUGAGGGCGUCCUCGAUAAUGCGCCGUUGGUGUCUCUUCACGUCGAUGCUCUGCAGAUCAAAGCGCCUGGGCACGGGUUUGCGGUCGGCCGCCUCGAUCCACACGUACUUGACGACGUCGAGGCGACCCCCGCGUGCGGCGUGUAUCGUCAUAUCGAGUCUUGGCUUGCCGGUCGACCGCUCUACAGACGCACGCACUACGUCGAGCGGUGCACCGCGCUCCAUCAACUGGGUCAGCGUCAUGCUGUCGUGACCCGCUGCAACGCGGCGUGUGGCCGGACCGACAUCUAUGCCCGUCGCUACAGACCAGGCGACGAGGUCGCGCGGACGUGAGAUCGAGUCGGUGAUGUGCUGGAUCAGUUCAGGUGGCAGAUCAUUCAGCAUGGCCAUGCUCGCCGGCACGCACCCGAUGCGCAAAAAUCGUGCGAGUCUGCGUGCCCUGCAACUCAAGAUUAAAAAGGCCACCGAG